AUGCAACGCGCGGCGAAGCCCAUUUUAGGCCCUGCGGUUGGUGGGAAUUUCUUAUCAUUUUGCCCUACGUGUCAACCCAGACCACCACAAGCGGAAGGUCAAUUCGCCGGCGCCGUCGCUUGGAGGGAGCGAGCUAGCCCGAUGGCGGCCGCGCUGCUGCGACACGUCCGGUGGCUCCUGGUCGAGCACCCCGCCGUCGCCUCCUUUCACUGGCGCCCGGGCACCACGCUCGCGGCGUCGCCGUCAUUCCCCGCCGCCGUCAUCUGCGCCUACCUCGCCACGGUGCUCCUCCUCCACCGCCGCAUCCUGCCCCUCCCGCCCCUCCCGCCGCGCGCCCUCCGCGCCGUCUCCGCGCUGCACAACUGCGUCCUCCUCGCCCUCUCCGCCGCGAUGGCCGCCGGCUGCGUGCUCUCCGCCGCGGCCACGGCGCCCUCGCCGCGCUGGGCCUUCUGCUUCCCGCCGGGCGGCGCCACGGAGCCGUCGGGCCCGGUCUUCUUCUGGGCGCACGUCUUCUACCUCUCCAAGAUGUACGAGCUCGGCGACACGCUGCUCAUCCUCCUCGCCCGCCGCCCGCUCACCCUGCUCCACGUCUACCACCACGCCCUCGUCAUCGCCAUGUGCUACCUCUGGCUCGCCACGCGCCAGUCGCUCAUGCCCGUCGCGCUCGUCACCAACGCCGCCGUCCACGUCGUCAUGUACGCCUACUACCUCUGCUGCACCCUCGGCCUCCGCUGGCCGCCGCGAUGGAAGCGCGCCGUCACCGAGCUGCAGAUCCUGCAGUUCCUCUUCAGCUUCGCCGCCUCCGUCGUCAUGCUCUGGUUCCACUUUGCCGGCGGCGGGUGCGAGGGGAUGGCAGGGUGGGCCUUCAACGCCGUCUUCAACGCCUCCCUGCUCGCGCUCUUCCUCGACUUCCACGGCGCCGCCUACGCCGCCAAGGCCAACAAGACAAACAUCAACAAUGGCAAUGGGGGGAAAUCAGAGUGA
RNAcentral lists this ribosomal RNA (984 nucleotides) under Triticum aestivum (bread wheat). RNAcentral's name for it is "partial small subunit ribosomal RNA". The record is from RNAcentral. Lineage: Eukaryota; Viridiplantae; Streptophyta; Magnoliopsida; Poales; Poaceae.